RNAcentral lists this ribosomal RNA (854 nucleotides) under uncultured bacterium. RNAcentral's name for it is "bacterial SSU rRNA". It matches the Rfam family "Bacterial small subunit ribosomal RNA", at positions 597 to 1451 of the family's 1533-position model. The record is from RNAcentral.
AAAGNCAUUGGCUCAACCAAUGUAUGCUUUGGAAACUGUUAGACUUGAGUGCAGAAGGGGAGAGUGGAAUUCCAUGUGUAGCGGUGAAAUGCGUAGAUAUAUGGAGGAACACCGGUGGCGAAAGCGGCUCUCUGGUCUGUCACUGACGCUGAGGCUCGAAAGCGUGGGUAGCGAACAGGAUUAGAUACCCUGGUAGUCCACGCCGUAAACGAUGAGUGCUAGGUGUUAGGUCCUUUCCGGGACUUAGUGCCGCAGCUAACGCAAUAAGCACUCCGCCUGGGGAGUACGACCGCAAGGUUGAAACUCAAAGGAAUUGACGGGGGCCCGCACAAGCGGUGGAGCAUGUGGUUUAAUUCGAAGCAACGCGAAGAACCUUACCAGGUCUUGACAUCCCGAUGCCCGCUCUAGAGAUAGAGUUUUUCUUCGGAACAUCGGAGACAGGUGGUGCAUGGUUGUCGUCAGCUCGUGUCGUGAGAUGUUGGGUUAAGUCCCGCAACGAGCGCAACCCUUAUUGUUAGUUGCCAUCAUUGAGUUGGGCACUCUAGCGAGACUGCCGGUAAUAAACCGGAGGAAGGUGGGGAUGACGUCAAAUCAUCAUGCCCCUUAUGACCUGGGCUACACACGUGCUACAAUGGUUGGUACAACGAGUCGCAAGCCGGUGACGGCAAGCUAAUUUCUGAAAGCCAAUCUCAGUUCGGAUUGUAGGCUGCAACUCGCCUACAUGAAGUCGGAAUCGCUAGUAAUCGCGGAUCAGCACGCCGCGGUGAAUACGUUCCCGGGCCUUGUACACACCGCCCGUCACACCACGAGAGUUUGUAACACCCAAAGUCGGUGAGGUAACCAUAUAGGAGCCA